GUGGGGAAUUUUGGACAAUGGGCGCAAGCCUGAUCCAGCAAUGCCGCGUGCAGGAAGAAGGCCUUCGGGUUGUAAAGUUCUUUAGCCGAUGAUUAUAAUGACUGUAGUCGGAAAAUAAGCCCCGGCUAACUUCGUGCCAGCAGCCGCGGUAAUACGAAGGGGGCGAGCGUUAUUCGGAAUCACUGGGCGUAAAGCGUGCGUAGGCGGUUUUGUAAGUUAGGAGUGAAAGCCCAGGGCUCAACCUUGGAAUUGCUCUUAAAACUGCAAGGCUCGAAUCUCGGAGAGGAUAGCGGAAUUUCCAGUGUAGCAGUGAAAUGCGUAGAUAUUGGAAGGAACACCAGUGGCGUAAGCGGCUAUCUGGACGAGUAUUGACGCUGAGGCACGAAAGCGUGGGGAUCAAACAGGAUUAGAUACCCCAGUAGUCC
This 425-nucleotide ribosomal RNA is filed under the name uncultured bacterium. RNAcentral describes it as "partial 16S ribosomal RNA". It matches the Rfam family "Bacterial small subunit ribosomal RNA", at positions 354 to 796 of the family's 1533-position model. The record is from RNAcentral.